This 67-nucleotide transfer RNA is filed under the name Lutreolina crassicaudata (thick-tailed opossum). Its description in RNAcentral is "tRNA-Pro". Lineage: Eukaryota; Metazoa; Chordata; Mammalia; Didelphimorphia; Didelphidae. The record is from RNAcentral.
CAGGAAGUAGUUUAAGCAGAAUAUCAGCUUUGGGUGUUGAUGGUGAGGCGUUUUGCCUUCUUCUUGA